Molecule: ribosomal RNA, 460 nt
Filed under: uncultured bacterium
Lineage: Bacteria
Description: partial 16S ribosomal RNA
Rfam family: Bacterial small subunit ribosomal RNA
Source: RNAcentral
CCUACGGGAGGCAGCAGUGAGGAAUAUUGGUCAAUGGGCGCAAGCCUGAACCAGCCAAGUAGCGUGAAGGAUGACGGCCCUACGGGUUGUAAACUGCUUUUAUACAGGAAUAAAGUGACUUACGUGUGGGUUUUUGCAUGUACUUUAUGAAUAAGGACCGGCUAAUUCCGGGCCAGCAGCCGCGGUAUUACGGAGGUUCCGAGCGUUAUCCGGAUUUAUUGGGUUUAAAGGGAGCGUAGGUGGGUUGUUAAGUCAGCUGUGAAAUGUUCGGGCUCAACCGUGACAUUGCAGUUGAUACUGGCGUGCUUGAGUACAGUUGAGGUAGGCGGAAUUCGUGGUGUAGCGGUGAAAUGCUUAGAUAUGACGAAGAACCCCGAUUGCGAAGGCAGCUUACUGAAGUGCAACUGACGCUGAUGCUCGAAAGUGUGGGUAUCAAACAGGAUUAGAUACCCGUGUAGUC